This 468-nucleotide ribosomal RNA is filed under the name uncultured bacterium. RNAcentral describes it as "partial 16S ribosomal RNA". It matches the Rfam family "Bacterial small subunit ribosomal RNA", at positions 28 to 507 of the family's 1533-position model. The record is from RNAcentral.
GACGAACGCUGGCGGCGUGCUUAACACAUGCAAGUCGAACGGAAAGGCCCUGCUUUUGUGGGGUGCUCGAGUGGCGAACGGGUGAGUAACACGUGAGUAACCUGCCCUUGACUUUGGGAUAACUUCAGGAAACUGGGGCUAAUACCGGAUAGGAGCUCCUGCUGCAUGGUGGGGGUUGGAAAGUUUCGGCGGUUGGGGAUGGACUCGCGGCUUAUCAGCUUGUUGGUGGGGUAGUGGCUUACCAAGGCUUUGACGGGUAGCCGGCCUGAGAGGGUGACCGGCGACAUUGGGACUGAGGUAGGGCCCAGACUCGUACGGGAGGCAGCGGGGGGGAAUAUUACACAAUGGGAGGGAGCCUGAUGCAGCAACGCCGCGUGCGGGAUGACGGCCUUCGGGUUGUGAACCGCUUUCGCCUGUGACGAAGCGUGAGUGACGGUAAUGGGUGAAGAAGCACCGGCUAACUACGUG